UAAUUUGAAGAUUGUAACCUUGGGGUUGGCUCUUGUCUAUGUUUCUUGGAACAGGACGUCACAGAGGGUGAGAAUCCCGUGCGAUGAGAUGCCCAAUUCUAUGUAAGGUGCUUUCGAAGAGUCGAGUUGUUUGGGAAUGCAGCUCUAAGUGGGUGGUAAAUUCCAUCUAAAGCUAAAUAUUGGCGAGAGACCGAUAGCGAACAAGUACAGUGAUGGAAAGAUGAAAAGAACUUUGAAAAGAGAGUGAAAAAGUACGUGAAAUUGUUGAAAGGGAAGGGUUUGAGAUC
This 287-nucleotide ribosomal RNA is filed under the name Meyerozyma caribbica. RNAcentral describes it as "partial large subunit ribosomal RNA". It matches the Rfam family "Eukaryotic large subunit ribosomal RNA", at positions 146 to 430 of the family's 3401-position model. The record is from RNAcentral. Lineage: Eukaryota; Fungi; Ascomycota; Pichiomycetes; Serinales; Debaryomycetaceae.